UCAACCAGGCGAUCGCGCCAUCGGGUUUUCCCGGUGCCGAGGAACGUCCGGGCUCCACAGAGCAGCGUGGUGGGUAACGCCCACCCGGGGUAACCCGCGAGCAAGUGCAACAGAAAGUAGAUCCACCGGCACAGUCGGCCAGGAGUGAAACGGUGGUGUAAGAGACCACCAGCACCGCGUGCGAGCGCGGUGGCUAGGUAAACCUCACGCGGAGCAAAACCAAAUAGGAGAGCUAUGGAGUCGCUCGCUCCGUUCUCGGGUUGGUUGCUAGAGCCGUACGGCAACGUGCGGCCGAGAUAGAUGAUCGUCCACGACAGAACCCGGCGUAUCGGUUGGCC
Molecule: RNase P RNA, 338 nt
Filed under: uncultured Agrococcus sp.
Lineage: Bacteria; Bacillati; Actinomycetota; Actinomycetes; Micrococcales; Microbacteriaceae
Description: Bacterial RNase P class A
Rfam family: Bacterial RNase P class A
About the family: Ribonuclease P (RNase P) is a ubiquitous endoribonuclease, found in archaea, bacteria and eukarya as well as chloroplasts and mitochondria. Its best characterised activity is the generation of mature 5'-ends of tRNAs by cleaving the 5'-leader elements of precursor-tRNAs. Cellular RNase Ps are ribonucleoproteins.
Source: RNAcentral